GACGUAGGGGGCAAGCGUUAAUCGGAAUUACUGGGCGUAAAGCGUGCGCAGGCGGUUUUGUAAGCCAGGUGUGAAAUCCCCGGGCUCAACCUGGGAAUGGCAUUUGGGACUGCAAGGCUGGAGUGCGGCAGAGGAGACUGGAAUUCCUGGUGUAGCAGUGAAAUGCGUAGAUAUCAGGAGGAAUACCGAUGGCGAAGGCAGGUCUCUGGGCUGACACUGACGCUCAUGCACGAAAGCGUGGGGAGCAAACAGG
RNAcentral lists this ribosomal RNA (253 nucleotides) under uncultured bacterium. Its description in RNAcentral is "partial 16S ribosomal RNA". It matches the Rfam family "Bacterial small subunit ribosomal RNA", at positions 524 to 776 of the family's 1533-position model. The record is from RNAcentral.